UUGAAAAAAACAUUGGGCCCAUGGGGAUGGUGGCCACAAAGGGAAAGAAACAAGCGUUCAUCAGUAUGUUUGUCCACUUCACAAAGUCCAACCUGUCUGAGUUCCCACCACCUGAGAAAGAACUCCGCCGCGCUGGGAAUCGCCUCUGGCGGCACCGGAGGACCACUGCCCAUAAAACCUACAUCGUUCUAACCACCUCACAUUCCUCUACCAUAAACCGACCUCUAUUUCUUCCGAAUUUUAAACCAUCCAUCCAAACCCAACCGAAAUCAGACGAACCCUAACUCACAAAUCUUGAAUUGAACGCGAGCAAUGGUUGAAUCGGAGUCCAAACCAUAGGGGUUUGGCUCCACGAUCUAUAAGUCAUAUCAAAGUAAGGAGAAUUGAUCGAGAAAGAAGAAUUUCACCAACCUACGAGACAAAGAAUUAUCCUGGUGAAAAAUUACACUCAAAGCGAACGCGAAGUCAGAGGCGUCUCUAGCAAGGUGAAUUGAAGAUGAUGCGGCAAGGUUGAAGAGGUAGAAUGAAGAACGUCACGAUUCUGAUUCUUGAUUUCUCUGAUGAAGACCGAAGGCUCAGUUUGAAGGAUACUCCUCCUCUUUUAGGUUGAAUAGAAGAUGAAGAACAAAAUGAAAAGGGAAGAAGAAUCGAAGGAUGGAAGCUUGAAGAAUGAUUAGAGGUGAGUGAAGAUUGAAGCAAAAUGAAGUAGUGUAAACAUAAUGAAGAUUCAGAAGACUAGAUGAAGAUGAAUGACGAUCUAUUUAUACAAGUUUUCCUUCUUAAUUCUGUUAGAAAUUUCAUUUAAUGCAUCUCAAAUUCACCUCAAAUUGAAAUGAAAAAGAAGUUAGAGGUUUUUGAUCUGUUAGAAACUGUUAGUUAGUUUUAAGUUAGUUACAAAUGAAAGUUGAAAUGAAAUUAAUUUGAUUUGCAUUUGGUUUUAAAUUUGGUUUGGGUGCCGUGUUAUCUGAACCUCUACUGAACUAUUCCAUAUAAAUCUUACUGUUAUUUA
Lathyrus oleraceus (garden pea) is the source of this 1009-nucleotide long non-coding RNA. RefSeq lists it as uncharacterized. The record is from RefSeq and is a predicted model, not a curated record. Lineage: Eukaryota; Viridiplantae; Streptophyta; Magnoliopsida; Fabales; Fabaceae. The transcript is spliced from 3 exons.